Molecule: non-coding RNA, 116 nt
Organism: Aedes aegypti (yellow fever mosquito)
Lineage: Eukaryota; Metazoa; Arthropoda; Insecta; Diptera; Culicidae
Source: Rfam
UGCCUAGCAACUCCUAUCCCUACCUCCUCGUGGUACUGGCCGGGGAACGAGUAACCAUGAGGAAGAUCGAGUAACCAACCCCGAUGGGAACUUUGGUCGUAUGCUGACAGGAAAGA